This 468-nucleotide ribosomal RNA is filed under the name uncultured bacterium. RNAcentral's name for it is "partial 16S ribosomal RNA". It matches the Rfam family "Bacterial small subunit ribosomal RNA", at positions 28 to 507 of the family's 1533-position model. The record is from RNAcentral.
GACGAACGCUGGCGGCGUGCUUAACACAUGCAAGUCGAACGGAAAGGCCCUGCUUUUGUGGGGUGCUCGAGUGGCGAACGGGUGAGUAACACGUGAGUAACCUGCCCUUGACUUUGGGAUAACUUCAGGAAACUGGGGCUAAUACCGGAUAGGAGCUCCUGCUGCAUGGUGGGGGUUGGAAAGUUUCGGCGGUUGGGGAUGGACUCGCGGCUUAUCAGCUUGUUGGUGGGGUAGUGGCUUACCAAGGCUUUGACGGGUAGCCGGCCUGAGAGGGUGACCGGCCACAUUGGGACUGAGAGACGGCCCAGACUCCUACGGGAGGCAGCAGUGGGGAAUAUUGCACAAUGGGCGGAAGCCUGAGGCAGCAACGCCGCGUGCGGGAUGACGGGCUUCGGGUUGUAAACCGCUUUCGCCUGUGACGAAGCGUGAGUGACGGUAAUGGGUAAAGAAGCACCGGCUAACUACGUG